This 399-nucleotide ribosomal RNA is filed under the name Minla ignotincta (red-tailed minla). RNAcentral describes it as "partial 12S ribosomal RNA". It matches the Rfam family "Bacterial small subunit ribosomal RNA", at positions 541 to 1026 of the family's 1533-position model. Lineage: Eukaryota; Metazoa; Chordata; Aves; Passeriformes; Leiothrichidae. The record is from RNAcentral.
AAAUUAACAUUAUAACGGCGUAAAGAGUGGUCGCAUGUUAUCCAAGUAGCUAAGAUUAAAAAGCAACUGAGUUGUCACAAGCUAAUGAUGCGGCAUAAGGCCUCUAUUCAAAGAAGAUCUUAGACCAACGAUUAAUUGAAGCCACGAAAGCCAGGGCCCAAACUGGGAUUAGAUACCCCACUAUGCCUGGCCCUAAAUCUUGAUGCUCGAUCUAACCGGAGCAUCCGCCCGAGAACUACGAGCACAAACGCUUAAAACUCUAAGGACUUGGCGGUGCUUCAAACCCACCUAGAGGAGCCUGUUCUGUAAUCGAUGAUCCACGAUUCACCCUACCAUUCCUUGCCCAAAACAGCCUAUAUACCGCCGUCUCCAGCCCACCCCCCAUGAAGGCCCAACAGU